Molecule: small nuclear RNA, 272 nt
Filed under: Rattus norvegicus (Norway rat)
Lineage: Eukaryota; Metazoa; Chordata; Mammalia; Rodentia; Muridae
Description: 7SK RNA
Rfam family: 7SK RNA
About the family: 7SK was discovered as an abundant small nuclear RNA in the mid-70s but a possible function has only recently been suggested. Two independent studies have found that 7SK RNA binds the CDK9/cyclin T complex (known as elongation factor P-TEFb). P-TEFb activates transcription by phosphorylating the C-terminal domain of RNA polymerase II.
Source: Rfam by way of RNAcentral
GGGUGGGACAGUGACCUGGGUGAGUUAUCUGUCAACCUAUCGAACACUGGGGUUUAUUUGAGUGAUGUAGCUGGCUAUCGAGUGUCACCUUCCUCUCUCACAAUUACUUGUGUGUCCCUAGUUGUGCUUUAUCAAAAAGGACAACUGCCCUUGCUAGGGAAAGAUAGUUUUUGGGUCCUACUUAUAUGCACUGUAUACAAGUUGUUGGGAUCAUCUGUUUAUAUGGUUUAUUCAAGCAUAAAGAAGAAUAGAAUCAUUAUUUGCAAGAAAAU